AGUAGGGAACCUCAGGCCCCCAAUUUCACACGACAAACCAGCACCCACUACACCUGUUCAACAGAACAAAGGACCUAGGGCAGUGACUUAAGCUCCUCCUUAGAUUCCGGUAACAGGAUAUAGUAUGACUUGCCUGCAUUAUGGUAAGGAUCAUGGGGAUCGACUCUGUUAUCGCCUCAACAAUACUUGUCGUAUAUGUGGGAGUGCCCAGCACUACGCGCGAGAGUGCCUGAGGAAUCAGAACCAGGCCAGAUCUCUUAUUCAAAGCAGAGCU
This 274-nucleotide long non-coding RNA is filed under the name Carica papaya (papaya). Its description in RNAcentral is "long non-coding RNA (CPAP_LNC004268)". Lineage: Eukaryota; Viridiplantae; Streptophyta; Magnoliopsida; Brassicales; Caricaceae. The record is from RNAcentral.